RNAcentral lists this ribosomal RNA (253 nucleotides) under uncultured bacterium. RNAcentral describes it as "partial 16S ribosomal RNA". It matches the Rfam family "Bacterial small subunit ribosomal RNA", at positions 524 to 776 of the family's 1533-position model. The record is from RNAcentral.
UACGUAGGGGGCAAGCGUUGUCCGGAUUUAUUGGGCGUAAAGAGCGUGUAGGCGGCCAAACAGGUCAGCUGUGAAAACUCGAGGCUCAACCUCGAGACGUCGGUUGAAACCGUUUGGCUAGAGUCCGGAAGAGGAGAGUGGGAUUCCCGGUGUAGCGGUGAAAUGCGCAGAUAUCGGGAAGAACACCCGUGGCGAAGGCGGCUCUCUGGGACGGUACUGACGCUGAGACGCGAAAGCGUGGGGAGCGAACAGG